AUACGUAGGUGACAAGCGUUAUCCGGAUUUACUGGGCGUAAAGGGCGUGUAGGCGGUCUUGCAAGUCCGAAGUGAAAUUCCUGAGCUCAACUCGGGCCCUGAUUCUGAAACUGCAGGACUUGAGUGCUGGAGGGGAAAGCGGAAUUCCUAGUGGAGCGGUAAAAUGCACAGAUAUUAGGAAGAACACCGGCGGCGAAGGCGGCGUUCUGGACUGUACCGGACGUGGAGGCGCGAAAGCGUGGAGAGCAAAUGGGAUUAGAUACCCUAGUAGUCCACGCCGUAAACGAUGAAUACUAGGUGUAGGGGGUAUCGACCCCUUCUGUGCUGUAGUUAACGCAAUAAGCAUUCCGCCUGGGGAGUUCGGUCGCAAGGUUGAAACUCAAAGGAUUUGGCAGGG
This 397-nucleotide ribosomal RNA is filed under the name uncultured bacterium. Its description in RNAcentral is "partial 16S ribosomal RNA". It matches the Rfam family "Bacterial small subunit ribosomal RNA", at positions 523 to 918 of the family's 1533-position model. The record is from RNAcentral.